This 485-nucleotide ribosomal RNA is filed under the name uncultured bacterium. Its description in RNAcentral is "bacterial SSU rRNA". It matches the Rfam family "Bacterial small subunit ribosomal RNA", at positions 30 to 507 of the family's 1533-position model. The record is from RNAcentral.
AUUGAACGCUGGCGGCAGGCUUAACACAUGCAAGUCGAGCGGGGAAAGGUAGCUUGCUACCUAACCUAGCGGCGGACGGGUGAGUAAUGCUUAGGAAUUUGCCUAUUAGUGGGGGACAACAUUCCGAAAGGAAUGCUAAUACCGCAUACGCCCUACGGGGGAAAGCAGGGGAUUUUUGGACCCUGCGCUAAUAGAUGAGCCUAAGUCAGAUUAGCUAGUUGGUGGGGUAAAGGCCUACCAAGGCGACGAUCUGUAGCGGGUUUGAGAGGAUGAUUCGCCCCCCUGGGACUGAGACCCGGCCCCGACUCCUACGGGAGGCAGCAGUGGGGAAUAUUGGACAAUGGGCGCAAGCCUGAUCCAGCCCUGCCGCGUGUGUGAAGAAGGCCUUUUGGUUGUAAAGCACUUUAAGCGAGGAGGAGGCUACUUGGAUUAAUACUUUAGGAUAGUGGACGUUACUCGCAGAAUAAGCCCCGGCUAACUUUGUG